CAGCCGCCGCGGGAAAACGUAGGGUGCGAGCGUUAAUCGGAAUUACUGGGCGUAAAGCGUGCGCAGGCGGUUUUGUAAGACAGGCGUGAAAUCCCCGGGCUCAACCUGGGAAUGGCGCUUGUGACUGCAAAGCUAGAGUGCGGCAGAGGGGGAUGGAAUUCCGCGUGUAGCAGUGAAAUGCGUAGAUAUGCGGAGGAACACCGAUGGCGAAGGCAAUCCCCUGGGCCUGCACUGACGCUCAUGCACGAAAGCGUGGGGAGCAAACAGGAUUAGAUACCCCCGUAGUCCCUGUCUCUUAUAC
This 301-nucleotide ribosomal RNA is filed under the name uncultured bacterium. RNAcentral's name for it is "partial 16S ribosomal RNA". It matches the Rfam family "Bacterial small subunit ribosomal RNA", at positions 509 to 807 of the family's 1533-position model. The record is from RNAcentral.